Molecule: ribosomal RNA, 254 nt
Filed under: uncultured bacterium
Lineage: Bacteria
Description: partial 16S ribosomal RNA
Rfam family: Bacterial small subunit ribosomal RNA
Source: RNAcentral
CACGUAGGGUGCGAGCGUUGUCCGGAAUUAUUGGGCGUAAAGAGCUCGUAGGCGGUGUGUCGCGUCGGCCGUGAAAACCUGCAGCUUAACUGUGGGCUUGCGGUCGAUACGGGCAUCACUGGAGUUCGGCAGGGGAGACUGGAAUUCCUGGUGUAGCGGUGAAAUGCGCAGAUAUCAGGAGGAACACCGGUGGCGAAGGCGGGUCUCUGGGCCGAUACUGACGCUGAGGCGCGACAGCGUGGGGAGCAAACAGG